Molecule: unclassified non-coding RNA, 304 nt
Filed under: plant metagenome
Description: partial contains 5.8S ribosomal RNA, internal transcribed spacer 2, and large subunit ribosomal RNA
Rfam family: 5.8S ribosomal RNA (bases 1-105)
Source: RNAcentral
GAAAUGCGAUAAGUAAUGUGAAUUGCAGAAUUCAGUGAAUCAUCGAAUCUUUGAACGCACAUUGCGCCCGCCAGUAUUCUGGCGGGCAUGCCUGUUCGAGCGUCAUUUCAACCAUCAAGCCCCCGGCUUGUGUUGGGGACCUGCGGCUGCCCGCAGGCCCUGAAAACCAGUGGCGGGCUCGCUGUCACACCGAGCGUAGUAGCAUACAUCUCGCUCAGGGCGUGCUGCGGGUUCCGGACGUUAAAAGCCUUUUUUUACCCAAGGUUGACCUCGGAUCAGGUAGGAAGACCCGCUGAACUUAAGC